CGCCCAGACUCCUACGGGAGGCAGCAGUGGGGAACAUUGCACAAUGGGGGAAACCCUGAUGCAGCGACGCCGCGUGAGCGAUGAAGUAUUUCGGUCUGUAAAGCUCUAUCAGCAGGGAAGAAGAUGACGGUACCUGACUAAGAAGCCCCGGCUAACUACGUGCCAGCAGCCGCGGUAAUACGUAGGGGGCAAGCGUUAUCCGGAUUUACUGGGUGUAAAGGGAGCGUAGACGGCGAUGCAAGCCAGAUGUGAAAGCCCGGGGCUCAACCCCGGGACUGCAUUUGGAACUGUGUGGCUGGAGUGUCGGAGAGGCAGGCGGAAUUCCUAGUGUAGCGGUGAAAUGCGUAGAUAUUAGGAGGAACACCAGUGGCGAAGGCGGCCUGCUGGACGAUGACUGACGUUGAGGCUCGAAAGCGUGGGGAGCAAACAGGAUUAGAUACCCUGGUACAA
This 450-nucleotide ribosomal RNA is filed under the name uncultured bacterium. Its description in RNAcentral is "bacterial SSU rRNA". It matches the Rfam family "Bacterial small subunit ribosomal RNA", at positions 328 to 794 of the family's 1533-position model. The record is from RNAcentral.